This 1390-nucleotide long non-coding RNA is filed under the name Androctonus crassicauda. Lineage: Eukaryota; Metazoa; Arthropoda; Arachnida; Scorpiones; Buthidae. The record is from RNAcentral.
UGACCAUCUAUGGUAUAGUGGAUAAUUUAUCAGUAGUUUUUCUAUUUAUAAGUGUUCAUAAGUUUUUGUUUUAAUUUUUUAAAUAUAAUUUUUUAUGAAUUCUUAUUAAUCAUCAUUGAAAUUUUAACUUGCAUAUUAGAAUAGAUUUUUAUACAUCAAACAUUUUCAUUGGCAAACAUAAUAUUCUCUUCUUUUUCAUAUUCAAAAAAAUUAUUAAAACAAGAAAUUAAACAUAUGAAAUACAUUUCUGCUAAAUAUUUUAAUUUACUAGAGAAUGAUUGAUAAAUUAUUUUAAGAUUUUACAUUAUUUGUGGUUUGUUAUAAUCUUAUUAAAUUUUGUCAUGAUAUAGUUAAUUUUGUUGAUGUUAAUAAGAAAUCAAGAUAAGAAACAAAGUAUAUAACAAAUGUUCUGAUUAUUGUCAAAACAAGUUGUAUUUGAGACUUUUAAAUGUAUGACUGUAUUUUAGUAUUGAAAGAUUAUUCUGUAUGUAAAAACAAAAAAGCUUUAUUCUAUAUUAUUCAGAAAAUUGAAAAUGCUGUAAUUGACCAGUGGCUGAAGAUAAAGACAGUGUGUAGUGAUCAGAAUGUUUGCUAUAGUGUGAUGAUUGGCAGGUGUGGUUUCUUUGAAUGGAUGUAUCAUAAAAUGUUAAAAAAGGAAGUGCCUUCCUAUAAAGAAAUACAGUAAUAAUAUAAAAUUUUACUAUUUUCAUCAGCUGUAAAAAUUUCAGUUCUGAGUGCAAAUAUAAAACUCUGACUGCAACUACUCUUGUAGUAAUAAUAAAUGUCAAUAUGUUGUGCAUAAAAUGAAGAGAAAAAUGUCUUAUGAUGUUUGUCAUAUGAACGUUGGUGCUUUGUGCAAAUGAUGAUAAAUUCAGAAAGUGAUACAAAAAAUAUAUAUAAAUCUAAAUAUUUGACUUUUAAUUAGGUAAUUUUUGUAAGAUACUUAUGUAAAGUUGUAAAAAUGUUGUCAUUUGAAAAAUCUAGUGGAUAAUUUUUCUUCUUAAUAAACAGUUGCAAGGAAUACAUUUAUGAUAUGCCACAAUUUAUUUUCUGUUUGUAAAUUAGUCAAAGUAUGCUUAUUGUAUUUGAGUAUAUAUUACAAUGUUAUUCCCUGUGUGCGUGACUAUUAUGUAAUAAUAAUAAUAAUUAUUAUAAUAAAGUUUGAUAGUUUUUAUUUACAUAAAGAAGAAUGGUAUGUCUGACGUGAAUUGUAUGUUCAUUGAGGACUGUGUGUACGAUAGCUGAUUGUUUCAAUAAAAUCACUUUAUGGAACGAUUGCAGUAUGACUGUUUUUUGAUAGUGUGAGUGCAAACUAAAAAUUCACUCUUCCUUUCUUUUUUUUUUUUUUUUUUUUUUAAAUUUUGCACUCACUAACAUUAUUAACAAAGAG